Molecule: ribosomal RNA, 377 nt
Filed under: uncultured bacterium
Lineage: Bacteria
Description: bacterial SSU rRNA
Rfam family: Bacterial small subunit ribosomal RNA
Source: RNAcentral
AACGAACGCUGGCGGCGCGCCUAAUACAUGCAAGUCGAGCGAGAAGGUGUAGCAAUACACUUGUAAAGCGGCGAACGGGUGAGGAAUACAUGGGUGACCUACCCUCGAGUGGGGAAUAACUAGCCGAAAGGUUAGCUAAUACCGCAUACGAUUCCCGGAUUACGGUUCGGGAAGGAAAGCGAUACCGUGGGUAUCGCGCUCAUGGAUGGGCUCAUGUCCUAUCAGCNGUUGGUGAGGUAACGGCUCACCAAGGCUUCGACGGUAGCUGGUCUGAGAGGACGAUCAGCCACACUGGCACUGCGACACGGGCCAGACUCCUACGGGAGCAGCAGUAAGGAAUAUUGCGCAAUGGGCGAAAGCCUGACGCAGCGACGCCG